GCUAAUGUGGUGCGGGGAGCAGUGGUAGUGAGAAGGGGGGAAGCGGUAAGCGGAAGUACUGGGCGGAAAGCGCGCGUAGGUGGUUUUGGAAGGUGGAGGUGAAAUCCCCGGGCGCAACCUGGGAACUGCCUCCAAAACUGCAUGACUAGAGUACGGUAGAGGGUGGUGGAAGUUCCUGUGUAGCGGUGAAAUGCGUAGAUAUAGGAAGGAACACCAGUGGCGAAGGCGACCACCUGGACUGAUACUGACACUGAGGUGCGAAAGCGUGGGGAGCGAACAGGAUUAGAUACCCGUGUAGUC
This 300-nucleotide ribosomal RNA is filed under the name uncultured Bacillus sp. RNAcentral's name for it is "bacterial SSU rRNA". The stretch from base 52 to 300 matches the Rfam family "Bacterial small subunit ribosomal RNA", at positions 547 to 795 of the family's 1533-position model. The record is from RNAcentral. Lineage: Bacteria; Bacillati; Bacillota; Bacilli; Caryophanales; Bacillaceae.